RNAcentral lists this ribosomal RNA (468 nucleotides) under uncultured bacterium. RNAcentral describes it as "partial 16S ribosomal RNA". It matches the Rfam family "Bacterial small subunit ribosomal RNA", at positions 28 to 507 of the family's 1533-position model. The record is from RNAcentral.
GACGAACGCUGGCGGCGUGCUUAACACAUGCAAGUCGAACGGAAAGGCCCUGCUUUUGUGGGGUGCUCGAGUGGCGAACGGGUGAGUAACACGUGAGUAACCUGCCCUUGACUUUGGGAUAACUUCAGGAAACUGGGGCUAAUACCGGAUAGGAGCUCCUGCUGCAUGGUGGGGGUUGGAAAGUUUCGGCGGUUGGGGAUGGACCCGCGGCUUAUCAGCUUGUUGGUGGGGUCGUGGCUUACCAAGGCUUUGACGGGUAGCCGGCCUGAGAGGGUGACCGGCCACAUUGGGACUGAGAUACGGCCCAGACUCCUACGGGAGGCAGCAGUGGGGAAUAUUGCACAAUGGGCGGAAGCCUGAUGCAGCAACGCCGCGUGCGGGAUGACGGCCUUCGGGUUGUAAACCGCUUUCGCCUGUGACGAAGCGUGAGUGACGGUAAUGGGUAAAGAAGCACCGGCUAACUACGUG